This is a microRNA precursor of Chrysemys picta bellii (western painted turtle), 93 nucleotides long. The record is from Ensembl. NCBI's taxonomy places the organism in Eukaryota, Metazoa, Chordata, Testudines, Emydidae.
GUCAGCGCGUCGGCACCUUGGCUCUAGACUGAUUACUGCUAAGUAGCAUUAAAGAAACAGUAACAGUCUACAGUCAUGGCUACUGAAGCAUGA